AUUUUAAUUUACCAAAUAAAAAUCCCAUUAUUACUACAACUUCAUGCCAACAGUUAUUCUAUGAAUUUAGUGCUACUUACUUGUUGGUAAUUGCAGUUGCUAUUGGGGCAAGUUGCUCUUAAAAAAGGGCUUUCUCUUCUAGUAUGGAGUAAUAUCCUUGGCUUUCUCCCGUUUUGCUCCAUAUAAGUUCCACACAAAUGCUCUCUUUGGUAUUUACCUUAGGGCUACUUACCAAUAUUGUUUGUAAUAAAAAAUAAAGAA
Molecule: unclassified non-coding RNA, 261 nt
Filed under: Hevea brasiliensis (rubber tree)
Lineage: Eukaryota; Viridiplantae; Streptophyta; Magnoliopsida; Malpighiales; Euphorbiaceae
Source: RNAcentral